UGAACGCUGGCGGCAUGCCUAACACAUGCAAGUCGAACGAAGGCUUCGGCCUUAGUGGCGCACGGGUGAGUAACGCGUGGGAACCUGCCUGGCAGUGGGGAAUAACCUUGGGAAACUGGGGCUAAUACCGCAUACGCCCUUUUGGGGAAAGAUUUAUCGCUGUCAGAUGGGCCCGCGUCGGAUUAGGUAGUUGGUGAGGUAACGGCUCACCAAGCCGACGAUCCGUAGCUGGUCUGAGAGGAUGACCAGCCACACUGGGACUGAGAUACGGCCCAGACUCCUACGGGAGGCAGCAGUGGGGAAUAUUGGACAAUGGGGGAAACCCUGAUCCAGCAAUGCCGCGUGAGUGAUGAAGGCCUUCGGGUUGUAAAGCUCUUUCAGGUGGACGAUGAUGACGGUACACCAGAAGAAGCCCGGCUAACUUCGCGCCAGCAGCCGCGGUAAUCU
This 447-nucleotide ribosomal RNA is filed under the name uncultured Magnetospirillum sp. RNAcentral describes it as "bacterial SSU rRNA". It matches the Rfam family "Bacterial small subunit ribosomal RNA", at positions 30 to 526 of the family's 1533-position model. The record is from RNAcentral. Lineage: Bacteria; Pseudomonadati; Pseudomonadota; Alphaproteobacteria; Rhodospirillales; Rhodospirillaceae.